GAGUUUGAUCUUGGCUCAGAUUGAACGCUGGCGGCAUGCCUUACACAUGCAAGUCGAACGGCAGCACGGGAGCUUGCUCCUGGUGGCGAGUGGCGAACGGGUGAGUAAUGCAUCGGAACGUAUCCUGGAGUGGGGGAUAACGUAGCGAAAGUUACGCUAAUACCGCAUAUUCUGUGAGCAGGAAAGCGGGGGACCUUCGGGCCUCGCGCUCUUGGAGCGGCCGAUGUCGGAUUAGCUAGUUGGUGAGGUAAAGGCUCACCAAGGCGACGAUCCGUAGCAGGUCUGGGAGGAUGAUCUGCCACACUGGAACUGAGACACGGUCCAGACUCCUACGGGAGGCAGCAGUGGGGAAUUUUGGACAAUGGGGGCAACCCUGAUCCAGCCAUGCCGCGUGAGUGAAGAAGGCCUCGGUUGUAAGUACGUACUUU
Molecule: ribosomal RNA, 428 nt
Filed under: bacterium enrichment culture clone ALO1_GLFRUDD03F3O1H
Lineage: Bacteria
Description: bacterial SSU rRNA
Rfam family: Bacterial small subunit ribosomal RNA
Source: RNAcentral